Molecule: ribosomal RNA, 811 nt
Filed under: Berkeleyomyces basicola
Lineage: Eukaryota; Fungi; Ascomycota; Sordariomycetes; Microascales; Ceratocystidaceae
Description: partial large subunit ribosomal RNA
Rfam family: Eukaryotic large subunit ribosomal RNA
Source: RNAcentral
UGCCCUAGUAACGGCGAGCGAAGCGGCAACAGCUCAAAUUUGAAAUCUGGCUAUUUUGUAGUCCGAGUUGUAAUUUGUAGAGGAUGCUUUUGGUGAGGUGCCUUCCGAGUUCCCUGGAACGGGACGCCAGAGAGGGUGAGAGCCCCGUACGGUUGGAUACCAAACCUUUGUAUAGCUCCUUCGACGAGUCGAGUAGUUUGGGAAUGCUGCUCUAAAUGGGAGGUAUAUCUCUUCUAAAGCUAAAUAUAGGCUAGAGACCGAUAGCGCACAAGUAGAGUGAUCGAAAGAUGAAAAGCACUUUGAAAAGAGAGUUAAACAGCACGUGAAAUUGUUGAAAGGGAAGCGCCUAUGACCAGACUUGUUUCUUUCAGUUUUGUUAGUUUUCGGACUGAUUUACUCUGUUAGUACAGGCCAGCAUCAGUUUGUUGUCAGGGAGAAAGGCUUAGGGAAUGUGGCUCUUUCGGGAGUGUUAUAGCCCUUUGCAUAAUACCUUUCGGCAGACUGAGGACCGCGCUUCGGCAAGGAUGCUGGCGUAAUGGUCAUCAGCGACCCGUCUUGAAACACGGACCAAGGAGUCAACCUUAUGUGCGAGUGUUUGGGUGUAAAACCCCAGCGCGUAAUGAACGUGAACGUAGGUGAGAGCUUCGGCGCAUCAUCGACCGAUUCUGAUGUUCUCGGAUGGAUUUGAGUAAGAGCACACAGGGUUGGACCCGAAAGAAGGUGAACUAUGCUUGUAUAGGGUGAAGCCAGAGGAAACUCUGGUGGAGGCUCGCAGCGGUUCUGACGUGCAAAUCGAUCGUCAAAUAUGAGC